This 53-nucleotide ribosomal RNA is filed under the name Oribacterium sp. C9. RNAcentral's name for it is "partial 23S ribosomal RNA". Lineage: Bacteria; Bacillati; Bacillota; Clostridia; Lachnospirales; Lachnospiraceae. The record is from RNAcentral.
AGUGCUGUAAAGCAUUCAGGUGAUAGUUACUAAUAGGUCGAGGGUUUGACCAA